This 741-nucleotide ribosomal RNA is filed under the name Cytobacillus firmus. RNAcentral's name for it is "bacterial SSU rRNA". It matches the Rfam family "Bacterial small subunit ribosomal RNA", at positions 61 to 786 of the family's 1533-position model. Lineage: Bacteria; Bacillati; Bacillota; Bacilli; Caryophanales; Bacillaceae. The record is from RNAcentral.
GUCGAGCGGACGGAUGGGAGCUUGCUCCCUGAAGUCAGCGGCGGACGGGUGAGUAACACGUGGGCAACCUGCCUGUAAGACUGGGAUAACUCCGGGAAACCGGGGCUAAUACCGGAUAACUCUUUUCCUCACAUGAGGAAAAGCUGAAAGAUGGUUUCGGCUAUCACUUACAGAUGGGCCCGCGGCGCAUUAGCUAGUUGGUGAGGUAACGGCUCACCAAGGCCACGAUGCGUAGCCGACCUGAGAGGGUGAUCGGCCACACUGGGACUGAGACACGGCCCAGACUCCUACGGGAGGCAGCAGUAGGGAAUCUUCCGCAAUGGACGAAAGUCUGACGGAGCAACGCCGCGUGAGUGAUGAAGGUUUUCGGAUCGUAAAACUCUGUUGUCAGGGAAGAACAAGUACCGGAGUAACUGCCGGUACCUUGACGGUACCUGACCAGAAAGCCACGGCUAACUACGUGCCAGCAGCCGCGGUAAUACGUAGGUGGCAAGCGUUGUCCGGAAUUAUUGGGCGUAAAGCGCGCGCAGGCGGUUCCUUAAGUCUGAUGUGAAAGCCCCCGGCUCAACCGGGGAGGGUCAUUGGAAACUGGGGAACUUGAGUGCAGAAGAGAAGAGUGGAAUUCCACGUGUAGCGGUGAAAUGCGUAGAGAUGUGGAGGAACACCAGUGGCGAAGCGACUCUUUGGUCUGUAACUGACGCUGAGGCGCGAAAGCGUGGGGAGCAAACAGGAUUAGAUACC